This 468-nucleotide ribosomal RNA is filed under the name uncultured bacterium. Its description in RNAcentral is "partial 16S ribosomal RNA". It matches the Rfam family "Bacterial small subunit ribosomal RNA", at positions 28 to 507 of the family's 1533-position model. The record is from RNAcentral.
GACGAACGCUGGCUGCGUGCUUAACACAUGCAAGUCGAACGGAAAGACCCUGCUUUUGUUGGGUGCUCGAGUGGCGAACGGGUGAGUAACACGUGAGUAACCUGCCCUUGACUUUUGGAUAACUUCAUGAAUCUGGGGCUAAUACCGGAUAGGAGCUCCUGCUGCAUGGUGGGGGUUGGAACGUUUCGGCGGUUGGGGAUGGACUCGCGGUUUAUCAGCUUGUUGGUGGGGUAGUGGCUUACCAAGGCUUUGACGGGUAGCCGGCCUGAGAGGGUGACCGGCCACAUUGGGACUGAGAUACGGCCAAGACUACUACGGGAGGCAGCAGUGGGGAAUAUUGAACAAUGGGCGGAAGCCGGAUGCAGCAACGCCGCGUGCGGGAUGACGGCCUUCGGGUUGUAAACCGCUUUCGCCUGUGACGAAGCGUGAGUGACGGUAAUGGGUAAAGAAGCACAGGCUAACUACGUG